RNAcentral lists this ribosomal RNA (546 nucleotides) under Macridiscus aequilatera. RNAcentral describes it as "partial 16S ribosomal RNA". It matches the Rfam family "Bacterial large subunit ribosomal RNA", at positions 1797 to 2619 of the family's 2925-position model. The record is from RNAcentral. Lineage: Eukaryota; Metazoa; Mollusca; Bivalvia; Venerida; Veneridae.
CGCCUGUUUAUUAAAAACAUGGCUUUUUGUUUAGUCUAAGAUGAAAAGUCGGACCUGCCCAGUGAGAUAUUAAACGGUUGCGACGAGAGUUGUACUAAGGUAGCGCGAUAAUUUGUCUUUUUAUUGGGGAAUGGGAUGAAGGGUUUGACGAAGAGUGAUUGUCUCUGAAGAGAAAAGUGAAGUUUCCUUUUAAAUGAAAAGGUUUAAGUGAUAUUAAAAGACGAGAAGACCCUAUCGAGCUUGAUUAAACAAAGAAUUAAUUACCAAAAGAAAUAUUAUGUUAGUAGAUUGAGUAAAAUUCUAUUGUUAAAGUUUAGUUGGGGUAAGCUGGUUUAAAAACAAUUAAGCCAAAACGGGUGAAGAUCCUUUUUGAAAGAAAAUAGCAAAAGCUACCGUAGGGAUAACAGCGUAAUUUUUCUUGAGAGGCCUUAUUUAGGGAAAAGUUUGCGACCUCGAUGUUGGAUUAGAAAAACUCUUCGGUGUAGCCGCUGAAGAAUGUAAGACUGUUCGUCUAUUAAUUUUCUACAUGAUCUGAGUUCAGACCGG